CAGAGUGAACGCUGGCGGCGUGCUUAACACAUGCAAGUCGAACGAGAACGGAUGUUAGUUUACUAACAUUGUCAGCUAAGUGGCGCACGGGUGAGUAAUAUAUAGUUAAUCUGCCUCAAAGAAGGGAAUAAUUGAUGGAAACGUCUUGUAAUGCCCUAUAUGCCUUUAUAACAUAAGUUAGCAAGGGAAACGCUUUUGUGCUUUGAGAUGAGACUGUACAGUAUCAGAUAGUUGGUGGGGUAAUGGCCUACCAAGUCUAUGACGCUUAACUGGUUUGAGAGGAUGAUCAGUCACACUGGAACUGAGACACGGUCCAGACUCCUACGGGAGGCAGCAGUGGGGAAUAUUGCACAAUGGACGAAAGUCUGAUGCAGCAACGCCGCGUGGAGGAUGACACAUUUCGGUGCGUAAACUCCUUUUAUAUGAGAAGAUAAUGACGGUAUCAUAUGAAUAAGCACCGGCUAACUUCGUGCCAGCAGCCGCGGUAAUACGAGGGGUGCAAGCGUUACUCGGAAUCACUGGGCGUAAAGAGAAUGUAGGCGGUUAAUUAAGUUAGAAGUGAAAUCCUAUGGCUCAACCAUAGAACUGCUUCUAAAACUGAUUAACUAGAGUAUGGGAGAGGUAGAUGGAAUUUCUGGUGUAGGGGUAAAAUCCGUAGAGAUCAGAAGGAAUACCGAUUGCGAAGGCGAUCUACUGGGAACAUUACUGACGCUCAGAUUCGAAAGCGUGGGGAGCAAACAGGAUUAGAUACCCUGGUAGUCCACGCCCUAAACGAUGCACACUAGUUGUUGCUAUACUAGAUAUAGCAGUAAUGCAGUUAACACAUUAAGUGUGCCGCCUGGGGAGUACGGUCGCAAGAUAAAACUCAAAGGAAUAGACGGGGACCGCACAAGCGGUGGAGCAUGUGGUU
This 910-nucleotide ribosomal RNA is filed under the name uncultured Arcobacter sp. Its description in RNAcentral is "bacterial SSU rRNA". It matches the Rfam family "Bacterial small subunit ribosomal RNA", at positions 25 to 946 of the family's 1533-position model. Lineage: Bacteria; Pseudomonadati; Campylobacterota; Epsilonproteobacteria; Campylobacterales; Arcobacteraceae. The record is from RNAcentral.